RNAcentral lists this ribosomal RNA (751 nucleotides) under Streptomyces sp. RNAcentral's name for it is "bacterial SSU rRNA". It matches the Rfam family "Bacterial small subunit ribosomal RNA", at positions 80 to 843 of the family's 1533-position model. Lineage: Bacteria; Bacillati; Actinomycetota; Actinomycetes; Kitasatosporales; Streptomycetaceae. The record is from RNAcentral.
CUUCGGGGUGGAUCAGUGGCGAACGGGUGAGUAACACGUGGGCAAUCUGCCCUGCACUCUGGGACAACACCGGGAAACCGGUGCUAAUACCGGAUAUGACGCGCUCUCGCAUGGGGGUGUGUGGAAAGCUCCGGCGGUGCAGGAUGAGCCCGCGGCCUAUCAGCUUGUUGGUGGGGUGAUGGCCUACCAAGGCGACGACGGGUAGCCGGCCUGAGAGGGCGACCGGCCACACUGGGACUGAGACACGGCCCAGACUCCUACGGGAGGCAGCAGUGGGGAAUAUUGCACAAUGGGCGCAAGCCUGAUGCAGCGACGCCGCGUGAGGGAUGACGGCCUUCGGGUUGUAAACCUCUUUCAGCAGGGAAGAAGCGCAAGUGACGGUACCUGCAGAAGAAGCGCCGGCUAACUACGUGCCAGCAGCCGCGGUAAUACGUAGGGCGCAAGCAUUGUCCGGAAUUAUUGGGCGUAAAGAGCUCGUAGGCGGCCUGUCGCGUCGGAUGUGAAAGCCCGGGGCUUAACCCCGGGUCUGCAUUCGAUACGGGCAGGCUGGAGUUCGGUAGGGGAGAUCGGAAUUCCUGGUGUAGCGGUGAAAUGCGCAGAUAUCAGGAGGAACACCGGUGGCGAAGGCGGAUCUCUGGGCCGAUACUGACGCUGAGGAGCGAAAGCGUGGGGAGCGAACAGGAUUAGAUACCCUGGUAGUCCACGCCGUAAACGUUGGGAACUAUGUGUGGGCGACAUUCCACGUCGUCCG